UUGGAGGGCAAGUCUGGUGCCAGCAGCCGCGGUAAUUCCAGCUCCAAUAGCGUAUAUUAAAGUUGUUGCAGUUAAAAAGCUCGUAGUUGAAUUUCGGGGUCAGUAGAUUGGUCGUGCCACUGGUAUGUACUGGUCUCACUGGCUCCUCCUUCCUGAUGAACCGUAAUGCCAUUAAUUUGGUGUUGCGGGGAGACUGGACUGUUACUUUGAAAAAAUUAGAGUGUUUAAAGCAGGCUAACGCUUGAAUACAUUAGCAUGGAAUAAUGAAAUAGGACGUUCGAUCUUAUUUUGUUGGUUUCUAAGAUUGACGUAAUGAUUAAUAGGGAUAGUUGGGGGCAUUAGUAUUCAAUUGUCAGAGGUGAAAUUCUUGGAUUUAUUGAAGACUAACUACUGCGAAAGCAUUUGCCAAGGAUGUUUUCAUUAAUCAAGAACGAAAGUUAGGGGAUCGAAGACGAUCAGAUACCGUCGUAGUCUUAACCAUAAACUAUGCCGACUAGGGAUCGGAUGAUGUUAAUUUUUUAAUGACCCAUUCGGCGCCUUACGGGAAA
RNAcentral lists this ribosomal RNA (548 nucleotides) under uncultured Glomeromycotina. RNAcentral describes it as "SSU rRNA". It matches the Rfam family "Eukaryotic small subunit ribosomal RNA", at positions 548 to 1097 of the family's 1831-position model. Lineage: Eukaryota; Fungi; Glomeromycota. The record is from RNAcentral.